RNAcentral lists this long non-coding RNA (2154 nucleotides) under Homo sapiens (human). RNAcentral's name for it is "HSALNT0191629". The record is from RNAcentral. Lineage: Eukaryota; Metazoa; Chordata; Mammalia; Primates; Hominidae.
GUUUCUCUGGAAAACCUUGACUAAUGUAGACUCUAUUACUGAAGGUGGUUCUAGAGGAACAGAAUUUUAAGAAUAAGUUUUGUAUAUUGGUUCUGGGAUUUUGGGAACUGACUUUCUAAUCUGAUUGGGUUUGAAGAUGUGAAGACUAUUUUCAGUAGUAAAGAGAGCAUCGAUGUUCCAUGGCAUCAACUGCUGAGAGAUACACAAACUAACUACAUACAGUAUUCUUAGUCAACCACUUAUAAGAAGCAAAGAGCUGGGUGACUGUGUGUUUAAUACUUUCCAGAAUUUUUGGAAAACUAACAAAUACAAUGAGGUUGUCUGAUUGCUACUAAUGUGACUGAAAAAGCAGGGAAACAAAAGGAUUAUCACAGAGAUUCAAACUUCUAGCUCAAGUACCACAUAAAUGACCUGAAAGCUUCCAGGUGUCCACUGAAGGAGACCCUUAUCUACUGUAGCUAUAAGAUUGAAAUUGCUGAAAAUCAAAUGAAGAAUCUCAUCCUGUAACUGGCUGAACUACAAUGGAAACUGAACUCCAUUUUUUCCCUAAUUGGGAAAAAAUAGGAUCCUGUAAAUUGGGAUGGUAACAUGUGGGAAAACACUGAUGAAGCUGAGAACAUCAAGCCCCUAAAUCCUGAGUCUUCUUUGCCAGUGAGAAAUGUGUCCCCUACCUGCAGGAAGAAUGACCUCCCAUUCCUAGCAGAAAUGUCCUCCCAACUCCCAGCAGUAUCAGCCUUUCCAUCCUUUCCUUGUCUGAGGAAAUGAAUCCUGCAUUGCCUGAGGAAUCCAUAAUGACCUUCUCUGAGGCAGUUGCCAUGCAAGACAUUGCUGACUUUCUUCAAGCCAAACCCCCACCAGCCCUCUUUCUUCUAGACCUGUAACUACUCACAAAUCUCAGCAGAUCUCCAAAGAAGUCUUACUUCUAAAGGGAGAAAUGUUUUCACCAGGGGACAAAACAACGAUUCCACUGAAAUGCAAGUUAAGACUUAUGCCCAGUCACUGGGCUCUUCAUGCCUGUUAAACAAAAGGCAAAGAAGAGAGUUACUGUGCUGGCUGGGGUGAUUGACUCUGACUACCAAUGCACAAUUGGACUACUACUCUGCAAUGCAGGCAAGAAAGAACGUGGCUGGAACACAGAAAAUCUUUUACAGUGUCUUUAAUGUUACCAUAUCCAGUGAUUAAGGUCAGUGGAAAACUACAACAACCCAGUUCAGAAAGUUUGGGUAACCCCACCAAGUAAACCAGCUGAGGUGCUUGCUGAAGGUAAAAGGAAUACAGAAUGGGUGAUGGAAGAUGGUAGUCAUAAAUACCAGCUAUGGCUAUGUGGUCAAUUUCAGAAUUGUAAUUGCCAUGAGUAUUUGCUCCUUAUUUUGUUAUGUAUACAUUGUAUGUAUGUAUAUAAAAAUCUUUGUUUUCUUUUCUCUCAUUUCUUUAUCAUGCAACAUGAUAUAUUUUGACUUUAUGUUGUAGUAUUUAAGCACUAUUAAUUUUGUAUCAGAAUUUUUAAGUUAUAGGAUAUUAAAGAGAAGAGUAAUCAUCACUCAAGGAAUUUAUCGUCUCUUCUGGUUUAGUACACUUUUGGACAAAAACGCGAUAGUUGUACUACAUUAGGCAGAAUUUUGACCUCAUUCUUGUCUUUACUUGGAGAUUAUGGUUUAAGGAGCUGCUUUUGAAGUGCCAAGAGUGCCAAGUUGACAAGGAAUGGAUUUGUGAUGGUUAAUUUUAUGCAUCAAGUUGACUAGGGCAGACAUCUAGUUAAACAAUAUUUCUGAGUGUGUCUCUGAGAGUGUUUCUGGAAGAAAUUAGAAUUUGAAUCAAUGGACUGAGUAAAGCAGAUUGCCUUUCUUAAUGUGGGUGGGCAAGAUCCAAUCUGAGUGCCUGAAUGGAACAAAAAAGUAGAGGAGGAAAGAUUCCACUCUCUCUGCCUGGCUGUUUGAUCUGGCAUGUCAGUCUUCUUUUCUUGGACUGAGACUUACAUAAGUACUACUUCCUCUCAGGCCUUUGGAUUUGAAUGGGAAUUUACACCAUCAGUUCUGAUUCUCAGACCUUCAAAUUCAGACUGAAAUUAUACCACUUGUUGUCCCGGGUCCCUAGCUUGUGGAUAGCAAAUUAUGAUUAUGGUACUUCUCAGCCUCCAUAAUCACAUGAGCCAAU